GAUCACCGAAGUUAAGCAGCGUCAGGCUCGGUUAGUACUUGGAUGGGAGACCGCCUGGGAAUACCAAGUGUUGUAGGCU
RNAcentral lists this ribosomal RNA (79 nucleotides) under Staphylococcus aureus. The record is from RNAcentral. Lineage: Bacteria; Bacillati; Bacillota; Bacilli; Caryophanales; Staphylococcaceae.